UACGUAGGGUGCAAGCGUUAAUCGGAAUUACUGGGCGUAAAGGGCUCGUAGGUGGCCAACUAAGUCAGACGUGAAAUCCCUCGGCUUAACCGGGGAACUGCGUCUGAUACUGGACGGCUUGAGUUUGGGAGAGGGACGCGGAAUUCCAGGUGUAGCGGUGAAAUGCGUAGAUAUCUGGAGGAACACCGGUGGCGAAGGCGGCGUCCUGGACCAACACUGACACUGAGGAGCGAAAGCCAGGGGAGCAAACGGG
Molecule: ribosomal RNA, 253 nt
Filed under: uncultured bacterium
Lineage: Bacteria
Description: partial 16S ribosomal RNA
Rfam family: Bacterial small subunit ribosomal RNA
Source: RNAcentral